RNAcentral lists this transfer RNA (74 nucleotides) under Pelecanus crispus (Dalmatian pelican). It matches the Rfam family "tRNA". Rfam says of the family: Transfer RNA (tRNA) molecules are approximately 80 nucleotides in length. Their secondary structure includes four short double-helical elements and three loops (D, anti-codon, and T loops). Further hydrogen bonds mediate the characteristic L-shaped molecular structure. tRNAs have two regions of fundamental functional importance: the anti-codon, which is responsible for specific mRNA codon recognition, and the 3' end, to which the tRNAs corresponding amino acid is attached (by aminoacyl-tRNA synthetases). tRNAs cope with the degeneracy of the genetic code in two manners: having more than one tRNA (with a specific anti-codon) for a particular amino acid; and 'wobble' base-pairing, i.e. permitting non-standard base-pairing at the 3rd anti-codon position. Lineage: Eukaryota; Metazoa; Chordata; Aves; Pelecaniformes; Pelecanidae. The record is from Rfam by way of RNAcentral.
GCCGGGUUAGCUCAGUUGGUUAGAGCAUGGUGCUAAUAUCGCCAAGUUCACAGGUUCAAUCCCUGCUUACUGCA